Molecule: transfer RNA, 77 nt
Filed under: Shewanella baltica OS155
Lineage: Bacteria; Pseudomonadati; Pseudomonadota; Gammaproteobacteria; Alteromonadales; Shewanellaceae
Also listed under: 1 other name
Description: tRNA-Arg (ACG) (tRNA-Arg-ACG-1-1)
Rfam family: tRNA
About the family: Transfer RNA (tRNA) molecules are approximately 80 nucleotides in length. Their secondary structure includes four short double-helical elements and three loops (D, anti-codon, and T loops).
Source: RNAcentral
GCGCGUGUAGCUCAGUUGGAUAGAGUACCUGGCUACGAACCAGGCGGUCGGAGGUUCGACUCCUUCCACGCGCACCA